AACGAACGCUGGCGGCGCGCCUAAUACAUGCAAGUCGAACGAGAAGCUGUAGCAAUACAGUUGUACAGUGGCGAACGGGUGAGGAAUACAUGGGUGGACCUACCCUCGAGUGGGGAAUAACCAGCCGAAAGGUUGGCUAAUACCGCGUACGCUUCCCAGUCUACGGGUUGGGAAGGAAAGCGAUGCCGUGGGUAUCGCGCUCAAGGUUGGGCUCAUGUCCUAUCAGCUUGNGGUUGGGGGUAACGGGCUCACCAAGGCAACGACGGGUAGCUGGUCUGAGAGGACGAUCAGCCACACUGGCACUGCGACACGGGCCAGACUCCUACGGGAGGCAGCAGUAAGGAAUAUUGCGCAAUGGGCGAAAG
This 365-nucleotide ribosomal RNA is filed under the name uncultured bacterium. RNAcentral describes it as "bacterial SSU rRNA". It matches the Rfam family "Bacterial small subunit ribosomal RNA", at positions 29 to 381 of the family's 1533-position model. The record is from RNAcentral.